CCGCAACCCAUGUUAUUCAACAAAAGUACGUAAUCAGUGAUAAAUAUAGGCAAAUUGGCGAGACACAUUUGAACAUCCUCUUUUCAAAGAAUCUGCCUAGCAUAUUACUCAAAUAGUUUACUACUAAGACACUAAUCCUAGGCAUUUUUCAAGUGCAAAAUCCCACAAAAGUUUGCAUUCAAUCGAUGAAGAUGGCUAACAACUACAUGGACAGGAACAAAACACAGUUACAAUCGGAACUCAAAUCGACAAAAUUCUUAAACAAGACCAGAAAUCUCGUACGGACUACGGUGGAGUCGCCCCCAACUCAACCUCUAAAUUGACCUCUAUUGACCAGCUUUAAACCAAGUCUUGAAUGGAAACUCAAUUUCUCUAACGGGGCACAACCUAGUCGGUGUUGCAUAUUGGACAUCAUUCCAAUUCUUCAUCAGAGAGCUUCUUAUAGAUGCAAUUCCUUCACCACUUGGUUCGACAUUUCUCUUCUUUAAAUUACUUAUCAGUUAUUCCCGUCUCUUUAUUUUCAUUCAAUCUAAUAACUGAAUGACAAACCUUGAAUUAUCAAACAUACAUAAGUUGGUCUAAUUUGCUGAUACAAUAAUGAUAAAUUUUGAGAAUUGAGUAAAUGGGUAGAUUUGAUUUUGGAAAAAGGAAUGAGCGCGUGCGAUGGAUAUGGGUAGUGGGGUAUGGUAGAGCACUGUUAGGAACUGAUAGGGGAUUGAGAUGGCAGAUUCAGGGAGGGGUCUCGUUCUUUCGCUGCUCUCUUUUUUUAGUGAAGGAAAAUUUUCUUAGCUAGGUCUAUCAUCAAAAAUGUCUCCAAGGUUUUUAGGCGUUCCUGAUUUGGCUUAAGAAGCAGGAGAAUGUUUGUCGUUUGGUUGAAGAAGGAGCAGAACGGUGAGGGAGGUCUUGUGUAUUGCAGCGUGUUUAGUCUCAUUUUUUUGCGUUUUCUCGGCUGAUUUCCUUGUGUGUAUAGGUCUCUAGGUCUAGCUUAGUUUUGUAGGGUUUUUUUUUUUUAGGUUAAGGGGUAUGGGUUUAGAAAUUAUUGGCUGGAGGACUUAUGGAUUAGGUCCAAAAAUUAGGCUUAAAAUGAAUUGUUUGAGCCCAAAUUAUAUUCUAUCUCCGUGAAUAUGAGUAAAAAUACUACAUUAUUUACUAAUUAAUCCUACUUAAAUAAAAUAACUAUUAAGAUAAGAUUAAUCGUUAGCAAAUCCUUUUUUUGUAUUUUCAAAUAUCAUAUUAAAAUAAAAUAAGGUACUAUUUUUGUAAUUUUUAGUUUUACGAAAGGUAUAUAAACUAAAAGCAACUAAAAAGAAGAAAUAUUUUUGUAAUUUUCGUUUUUUGAUAAAAUAAAGUAAAAGGGUCAAAACUAGUUAAAUAACUAUAUUAGAUCUAAACUAAGUAUUUAUAUGCUAAAAUAUGUAAAACCUUGGGGAUGGUCAAAAAUCACAUGUCUACAGCUGCCACUCUUUGACUGAAAAUACGAUGUAUUUUUAGAUAAAGAACGACUAGACAUGUUUUUUGACCUGACCUUUAUUUAGAGAUACUAAAAACUAAGAGGAAGGAGAAUGAGACCGAGCCCUUGAGCUGCUUACAUAUCCUUGGCUAUAAAAGAAUAAGGCCACGUGUAGUUUAGAAGUGAAUGGGGUGAUGGAGUAUAUUGAGGUAGAGAGCCGAUCGAGGUGCCGUUUCGUCGAGGUUCCGGUUUGCGAUCCUAAUAUUACAUCAAAAUAAAAAAGCUGGAAAAAAAAUUAACUAAGCAUGUCAACUAUAAGUUACAAGAUUCAUAUAUAUAAGUCUUCUAAAGCUUGAUCUUGAGUCUUGAAUGGUUCUUCAUCCAGACUUUGGAUUUGAACCCUGAUGCUUGCUAGUUGCAGGUGCUAGUUCAUUCUUCUUCAGUUUUUCAUAUCAAAACCGGACACACCAUGCUUGUGACUUCAGUCAUGUCUUGAGCAAUCCACCUCUUGUCUCAUCUUCUGCAUUUUGGAUUCACUUUUUUUUCCUUUCUUUUUUUUUUUUUAUUCUGGAUUGAGAUUAUUUAUGUUGAUCAUCUCGGACUAUCGACUCACAUUCUUGUCGCGAGCUUCUGCUACUUAUAAUCUUAGACUGAAUUCUUGAAUAACUUCCUUUGUUCUCCAGGUGUGCGUCUGAUUGCCAAAACUUGAACUAUCUUCCUUUGAAACUUGAACUGCUUUCCCUUGAAACUCAAACUGUUUCCUCUGUUCUAUAGGUGGGUGCCUGAUUGCCGAACUUGAACGUUUUUCCUUCGAAACUGCUUUUUCUUGAAAUUUAAAUUAUUUUCUCUUGUUCUCCAAGUGGACGCCUGAUUGCUGAACUUGAAUUGUCUUCCUUCGAAACUGUUUUUCCUUGAAACUUGAACUAUCUUUCCUUGUUAUCCAAGUGGAUGCCUGAUUGCUAAACUUGAAAUGUUUGUCUUUGAAACAGCUUUCCCUUGAAACUUGAAAUGUCUUUCCUUAUUCUCCAUGUAGGUGCCUGAUUGCUGAACUUGAACUAUCUUCCUUCGAAACUGCUUUCCCUUUAAACUUGAACUGUCUUUCUUCGAAACUAUUUUUCCUUGAAACUUGAAUUGUCUUCCCUUGUUCUCCGGGUGGGCGCCUAAUUUCUGAACUUGAAUUGUCUUCCUUCGAAAAUGAUUUCCCUUGAAACUUGAACUGUCUUCCAUUGUUCUCCAGGUGGGUGCCUGAUUGCUGAACUUGAACUGUCUUCCUUUGAAACGGUUUCCCUUGAAACUUGAAUUGUCUUCCAUUGCUCCCCGUAUGGGCGCCUGAUUGCUGAACUUGACCCGUCUUCUCUUAUUAUUUGAAACCGUUUCCCUUGAAACUUGAACUGUCUUCCCUUAUUGUUGGCCCAAGAACAUGUGUAGUUGUGAAGAAUGACAAAUGAAUUCAGUCAUGGACCAUGUCCAUCAUGUGAAGCACAGUGUUUGUGUAUCUAUACAUGAGAGAUGCACGUGAAGGAGAUAAGUUCCAUUAAUCAAGCAACAAUAUCUCCAGAAUUGAUCAAAAAUGUUGCAUAUGGGAUAAGGAAAGAAAGUCUCCUUGUGAAAAGAGAACACAAUCCGAAUACAAGAUAGGGUUGGAGUUUGUGUUGUUCGAGGACUCAACUUUGAUGGAAGAUCAGCAAUUGAGUCUCAAUCAACUCUAAUCACUAACUCAUUAAAUGACAGUGAUCGUUCUCUUUUACAGACAUUGCACAAAUGCAGAAGUAAAACUAAAUUGAGAGCAAAAAGUGAGGCAAUUUUGCAAGCAAUUUAUGUGAGAUUUGAGUGUGCAUUCCUGCAGCUACUUGUACAAAAUAGAAGAACCAAUUCCUUUGUGCCUUUCUUUUAUUCUAGUUCAAUUGUAGUAUGUGAUUUAAACUUGUACCAUUUCAGCUUUCAUAGAAGCAAUUGUAUUAGGUAUGUUGAGUACUCAAGUUAGAGUUAACUUGAAGUUAUCGCAACAGUUGAGAAUGGUUGCCACAACGGGAUUAGAGGUAAUCCUUAGGUCUACAAAGAAUUUUUUAAAUGUUAUUUUGGCUUAGUGAUUUUAGUGGAAAAUUCAUACUGAGUAGUAGGUCGUGGUUUUUUCACCUUUUGAGCCGGGUGUUUUCCACGUAAAAAUCUUUGUGUUCUUUAUUUUAUGUACUUAUUAUUCCGCAAACAGUAGUGUUAGUAUACCUAGAAGAACUAGGUUCUUCUAGAGCAAAAAAUUGGUUACCACAAAAAUCACCCCCCCUCUUGUAUGGUAUUGACGUUUAAAACAUCAAUUGGUAUUAGAGCGAGUUAUUCUUAAAGAGGCUAACACCUUAGGAAAAGUUCAACAUGAGUGCACUAUGUGGUAAUUGGGUAGGGAAAUCCACUGUUAGGCCUCCACUCUUCAAUGGACAGUACUAUUCUUGGUGGAAGAACAGGAUGAGAGAUCAUAUCAUUGGAGAGGAUUAUGAACUCUGGGACAUAGUCAUUGAUGGUCCCUUGGCAACAACAAAGACGAAUGAGAAGACAGGGGCUAACUGCACUGUUGAAGACCUAAAGAAGUGGGAGAAAAAUGCUAAGGCCAUGAAAUGGCUUGUGUGUGGACUAGGUCCGAGUGAGUACAGUAUGAUCCAAAGUUGUGCCACUGCUAAGGAAAUCUAACACCUUAGGAAAAGAUCAAUAUGAGUGCACCACCUGGGAACUGAGAAGGGCAAUCCACUGCUAGGCCUCCACUCUUCAAUGGCCAGUACUAUCUUGGUGGAAGAACAAGAUGAGAAAUCAUAUCAUUGGAGAGGACUAUGAACUCUGGGACAUAGCCAUUGAUGGCCCCUUGGCAACUACAAAGAAGAAUGAGGAAAGAGUGGAUGUGCCAAAGACAAGAGUUGACUGCACUGCUGAAGAUUUGAAGAAAUGAGAGAAAAAUGCCAAGACAAAGAAAUGUCUUGUGUGUGGACUAGGUCCAGAUGAGUACAUCAGGAUCCAAAGUUGUACCACUACUAAGGAAAUCUGGGACACUUUGCAAGUGACUCAUGGAGGAACACCCCAAUUGAAGAGGUCCAAAGGAACACUGCUUUAUUCUCAAUAUGAGAAUUUUACUAUGAAGGAAGGAGAAACUAUCCAAUAGAUUAUACUAGGUUCACUACACUCACAAAUGAACUUGAGUCUCUUGGAAGGAGAAGAAGACAAGGUUGAGAAAAUCUUGACAAGGGUUCUACCAGUCUCAUGGGAAAGCAAAAUCACUACUAUUCAGGAAUCUAAGAAUAUUGCUACCCUCAAGCUGGAUGAACUAAUUGGAAAUCUUAUUGCCUAUGAACUGAGAAGGCAAACCAUGAGGAUGGACACACCUAAGAAGGAAAGAAGUCUGGCUCUUAGAAUUGCUGAAGGUUCAGAUUUGGAGGAUGAUGAAAUGGCUAUGAUAACAAGGGAUUUCAAAAAGUACCUGAUGAGAGGAAAUGUUGUGAGCACGUGAUUUUUGCCUCACUUGACAUGUUCCUAUAAAAUUCAUUAAAUUAGGAUUUUUCUAUUAUUAUUUAAAUUUUUAGGAAUUAACUGUGUGAUUUUUGUUUUUAUUUUCAUUUUUCUUUUAUUAUUUGAAUUUUUAGGAAUUAAUUGUCUGACUUCGUGUUUACUUGCGUCCUUCUUUUAUUAUUCGAAUUUUUAGGAUUUAUUUGCGUGAUUUUGCGUUUGAUUGAAUUUUAGGAAUUAAUUGCAUAAUUUGCGUUUAUUUGCAUGUCGCACGUUUUAAUUUGCAUAAUUCAUAAAAAUAUAAAAUGGCUUGUUUGCAUAGGAUUUGAAUUUUACAUUUUUUUAGGUUAUUAAUUAGUUAAUAUUGAAAAUGGAGAAAACAUUAGUUAAUUUUCUUUGAAAUUUAGGAUUUAGGAGUUUAUUUAGUUUAUUUCAUGAUAAAAUGCAUUUUGGCAAUUUUAUUUUUGUUAUUAUAAAAUCUGAAAUAAUAAAAUAAAAUAAAAUAUAAAAAAACAAAUAUAUAUAUAUAUAUACAAAGAAAAUCAUGGAUUGUAUACAAAUAUGGGUCUUUGAGAGACCAAAUCUGGCAAAACAAACCCUGACCCAUCAAAUGGACCCAAACCCAACACCCUUCCCCGUCCAAAAAGCCCUAGAAGGAAACAACGUCGUUUUGCAUCAAGGCAUCUAAGUCGUUGAUCAAUCUUGAUCAAACGGUCAAGAUGCAAGGGUUGAUUACCCUAUUUAAAUGUCGGACAACCCCCUCCCCCUACUAUUAGAACCUCGUACCUUAUUCAAAAAUGCCCUAAUUGCCGGUGUAACACCUCCCAACCCCCGCCGAGUCACCACUGCCCGCCGCCGGCCGGAACUCGCCGCCGCCGGCAGCGUAGCCCCAAAUCCGCCCAAAAUUACACUUCAGAUUUCCCGUCUUCUCCUAUUUCCAACCCCCCUAAAACCACCCCUCAAAACAUAGCCAAACGCGUCGAAUAUCCCUUUAAAGGAGCGGUGGCUCCGCCGUCCACAACGGCUUCGGCUCCAAUGGAAUCCAAAUUCAUAACCCACACUCCCAUUGCCCUCCUCUACCCAAAAACAAGUCCAACUCCAUUCAAACAACUCCCAAACUCGUCGAAUUUCAAAUCUAAGUUUGACCUAAAUCUGGAAACAAGUUUUUCAAGGCCGCUUGAAUUUUACAAUGGAGUUGCAUGCUUGUAUUGAUCAAAACAAGCAUAUAACUCCGUUUGGAGAUUCAAAAUGAAGAUCCAAUCAGUAAGUUCCUCAUUUGUUGGUAAUUUGCCUUGUGUUAGUCGUUUGUUAAUGGAAAAUGUUGAUUAAAUCCAUCCAAACUUGGUUUUGUUUGGUCACCCUUUCCGAUUAAUACAAUACUCUAGUUAUUCUAACUAAAAUCCAUCCCUACUCCUAUUUGUACAUAUUUCAUUUGGUCGCAUUAGUUUUAGGUUUUUAAUAAGAUUAGUUACAAUGCUUGAUUUUGUGACUUGCCAGUGUUAAUUGAUUAUUUGAGUCAGAUUACAAAAUAAUAUAGCUUUGCAUAGUUCUCUUUAAUAUAUUAAUUUUAGCUCUUUUUUUUACUUACUUGAAUCCAUGUUAGCUUAUAGCAGUAAUUAGUUGAUUGGUCAAUAAGUCUCAGAUUUUCAAUUUAUUUUUUGAUUAAUGGUUCAAAUAUAAUUAGGUAUUCGUUAUAGUUGUUAGUUAGUAAUAUGUAAUUACAAGAUUUAGCUAGGUAAAGUAGUGAUUCUGAUACACUAAGAGGGUAAUAUAGGGUUUUAACUUAGUGUUGGUAGUUAGGAUUAAAAUAAGGGUAGUAUAGGUAUCCUAUAAAUACGAUACAUUGCUAGAAUCUUUUAGACCCUUCGAGAAGGGGAUUUUAAUUUAAAAAUCAGUAGUUUAGUGUAGUAACUUGGGAAACAAAUGAAGGACCAAGUAGUUAAAAUCUGAAAAUCAAAAGAGGAACUAGUAGUUAAAAUGAAAUAAAAGGGUUGCCCUAGAGUUUGGCUAUAAAAGGGGCCCCAAUUCAUUCAAAAAAAGAGGUUAGACAGUCUGAAAAAAUAUUCUAAAAAAUUCCAGAUAUUUUGGAGUCUAAAAAAAAGCUCUGAAAUUUCAAACAAUAAUAAAAAAAAUCCUUCAUGCAACUAUAAUCUAAUUCAAGGCAAAAAAUCAACAAUGUCAGUCUAGUUUGAAUUUUUGAGAGUUGUUCCUUCAAAAACCUGGGCAUUUAGGACUCUAAAAUCAGCAGAAAAUCAACAAAUAAUGUUCCAUUAAAUUUCCAGCUAGGCUCGGGGUUAAUUUGAUCUUGUUUCUGGGGUUUUGCAUCAAGACUUAGGUUUGGUUAUUUCUAGAACUCCUGGGUGCAUUUUCAAAGGAUUUGAGGUCAUUUUAAGAGCUGUGUGUGUCCUAUUCUGUUUGUAUCUGGUUAUUAUUGUUGUGUUGCUCACAAAUUUGGUUGUUGAUCUCUAAUAUUGUUGUUGACUCCUUACCUCUUUUGUAUUUUGAUUACCAGGUAUUUCUUUCUCCCAAGGGAAGUGUUUUUAAGUCUAGUGAAUGUGAAAUCUAAAGAGAUUUGAAGUCAAAGGCCAUUUUUGCCUCUUGUGAUUUUAUCAACAUUAUUUGUGG
RNAcentral lists this long non-coding RNA (7558 nucleotides) under Nicotiana benthamiana. RNAcentral's name for it is "long non-coding RNA (NBEN_LNC004162)". Lineage: Eukaryota; Viridiplantae; Streptophyta; Magnoliopsida; Solanales; Solanaceae. The record is from RNAcentral.